This is a long non-coding RNA of Homo sapiens (human), 558 nucleotides long. NCBI's taxonomy places the organism in Eukaryota, Metazoa, Chordata, Mammalia, Primates, Hominidae. The record is from Ensembl.
CACAGGGCUGAAAUCCCUAAUGUUGAAGCUUCCUGACCAGGAAAACGAGCAGAGGGCCCAGAGAGCUUAGCCAUUACAGAAUGGCUUGGUUCGUCACUUGGCCUGGCUCAGCCCUGCUUUGGGAUGUGUUGAUAGUGCCUUUCUUGGACUAAAAUCCUUGCUCUCUGCCUGUCGUGCUCCAUGUCACUUCAGAAUGCCAGAGCCAGAAAAGGCCUCAGAGCUCGGAGGCCUUGUGCUGUGGCUUUGUCUUUCUGCUUGCACCUGUCACGGCUCGCUUCAGGGAACAGCGCAGACCCGCAUGCUCAGCUCUCAGUCCGGCUCCCUGCUACCCCUGUGACCAGGAGCACCUUCAUGUCUGCUCGCCCUGUGAUUUGGAGAGUGUGUUUGAUGCGCUUGGCUUCUGCUGAUGGCCUAUCCUCCCAGUUCUGGCCAGAGGCAGAUGCGGUGGGGGCCUCUUCUCCACUGCCCCCCUGCCUGCACCUCCAGCAGGUGGCCCAGUCCUAUAUUUCCAUUGCUUUGCUCUUUCUUGCUUUAAAAUAAACAACAAAGGCAACAGAC